CCGCGCCCGGCGCUCCGUCGCGCACCGUCCACCUUUCCGGGCGGCAUUAGUACACAAUAGUCGGCUCGCGGCAUUUAAGCUUGCCGUGUUCCUGCAAGUUGUCACCCGUAGAAACAGCCUUCCCCGGGGCGGCCUCGAAGCUCCUGCGGAGUGACGGGAAGAGGCUGGUGGAGGGGAGGGGGAGACAAGGAAGACUUUAAUUUUAAAGAAAGACUUUCGCCCUCGCGACCUCCCCCGCACUCAUCUCAGGAUAGAAACGCCCCUUGACUGAGCUAAUGGUGUUGUGUUAAAGGAAAGAGAUGGUUUUUCUUUUAAAUGUAACAGUUUCUUCCUUGUGAGGUAACGCGGGACCAGUGCGUACCCAGAAUUCCCGAGGUCUCGCGUGGCGUGUUUCCGGUUACUGUGCUCUCGCGGCAGCGGCAGGGCGAGGCUCGGACGACCGGCAUCCGCUUCUCUCAGUCCCCGGUCUGGCGGGCUUGUCACCCGUUGCCCGUUUCUCUCAGCAAAUUAACAGUUUCCUAGUAUUUUGUGAUUGUAAGAAGAACACUGCUUUUUAAAAAAAUGCCUACUUCCUGCAACUGUCCAGUAUUUUUUGGCAUCCCUUAAAUUUUACAUUAAGGGCAGAUGUCUCACUCGCCAGGCUUCCUCACCCUAGACCUGGUCCUACCAUGAAGAGUCAACUUACUUCACAGAUUAACAUGGUGUCUGACUCAAACAAUUUUAGAUAUUAGAAGAGAUCAGCCAGAUUUCAGAACAAGGAUAAAAAUUAUUUCCAUGGGAAGAUCUCAGUAUACUCCACAAAUAGGUAAUUCUUGUUAUUCUGUUUUACUAGUGUUGAAAUAGACACCCAGAGAUUAUAUCACUGCCACACGUCACAAAUCAGCAAAUAGUAGCCGAAGCAGCAUAGUAAUAGAAUCUGCAAGUCUUGUCUUACACUCCUGUGUCUAAGCACACUGGUAUAUCUCCUGGGCAAUUAUGCAGGUCUGUGCUGGGUGAUCAUCCAUAAACUCCAGAGGAUGGUGCCACUGACCUUUCAAAACUUGCCUCAUUCCUUGAGUAAUUGAUACGUCCUCAGGCCUUACUAGCUUGUGACCUCAGAACAAGGCCACGCAGCUUAAUAUCCAAACUGCAGCUCUGAGCCUCUGGAGUUGGGAAGUCUGUUCCUCUGCUGGAUCCACACUUUCCUCCCCACCUCCCACAAAUCCAAGGAGUGUUUAGGAGUUACUUUUCAUCUCCAUCAGUCCGUCACUUGCAUGGGCCUCCUCCAAGGCCCUGGAAGAAGCCCUGGCAGUAUAUUCAAAUGGGUGUAUGAUUUUAUAAAAUUUGUAAAUAUUUUAAUAGCAAUCAGUUGACUUCUGUCUCUUUCUACCACUUCUGCUCCUUUGCACUCUCCUGUAUAGUGUGGUACUGGAACAGCUUUUUGUAGGAUCUGGCUAGGAGGAAGGUAAAUACUAUACUAUAUGUAUAUGUUCCUCAAAAAUAUUUUUUAAAAAGAAAGUUAAGUUGGAAAUAUGCUAUUUUUAGCAGGUUUAAUGCCAGAUGUUAUUGACAUACAAUAAAGGCACAUUUUUAAAGUGUACAAUUUGGUAAGUUUUGACUUAUGUAUAGCAGGAGAAACCAUCACCAAAUCAAGAUAAUGAACAGACCCAUCACACUCAAAGAUUUCCUCAUGCCUCUUUGUAAUUCCUCGUUCCUGCCUUCACUUCCAUCCCCAGGAAACCAUUGGUCUGCCUUCUGUCAGUAUAGAUUAGUUUGCAUUUUCUAUAAUUUUUCUAUAAAUGGAAUCAUACAGUAUGUACUCCUUUUUGUCUGGCUUUUUUCAUUCAACAUAGUUAUUUUGGGAUUCAUCCAUGUUGUGUGUAUCAGUAGUUUUUUCUUUUCUUUGCUAAAUAGUAUUCCAUUUUAUGGAUAUGUUACAAUUUCCUUAUCCAUUCUGCUGUUGAGAGACAUUUGGAUUGUUUCCAGUUUGGAACUAUUACAAAGCUGCAUUGAACAUUUGCAUAUAAGUCUUUGCAUGAACAUAUGCUUUCAUUUCUCUUGGCUGAAUACUUGGAAGUAGAAUGACUGUGUCAGAUGGUAGGUAUAUAUUUAAUUUUUAAGAAAUUGCCAGGUCUUCCAAAGUGGUUGUAUCAUUUUACAUUCCCACUAGCAAUGUAUGAAAGUUCUAGUUGAUCCAUAUCCUUGCUAGUACUUAGUAUGGUCAGCCUUUUAUUUUAGCCAUUCUAAUAAAGGUAGUGGAAUCUCACUAUGAUUUUAAUUUAUAUUUUCCUAAUGGCUAAUGAUGUAGCAUAUCUUUUCAUGUGCUUAUUUGCCAUCUUUAUAGCUUCUCUAUGAAGUAUCUUUUCAAAUCUUUUGCCCAUUUUUAAAAUGUUUAUGUUGUUUGUUUUCUUAUUAUUGAGUUUUGAGAGUUCUUUAUAGAUUCUAGAUAUUCUCAGAUGUGGUCUGGCUCCAUAUGGCCAGGAUAAACCAAUCACCAUGGAUGACAGAAUAUUUCCAAAGCUGAUUACUGAGUCUUGAAUAAUGUCAUGUGUAGGACAUCUUCUACCCUACCCUGCAGUGUAGUCUAUACACUGGGCCAAACCACUCUGUAAGGGAAAAAUACCUCCUGUGUCUCCCGUACUCUCACACUACUACCACACUUCACAUCACUUCUGCCACCAGAUGUGCUAGUUUUCCACACAUCUAGAAAUUCUGUCACACCAGCUGGGUGUCCCAUAAUUUAACUCAAUUCUGACACUAUUGGAGGUAGUAUCAGAUCACAUAGUUUAAGGUCUCAGUCCCACAAGACACCCCCCCCCCCCGCUUCAGAUGCCAAUUGCAAGUCCCAGGUUGUCACCUGUGUUUCUGACUGAUCAGCUAUACAUCUCACAACCUACUCCUUGGGUUUGAUAAUUUGCUACAAUGGCUCACAACUCAAGGAAAUAUUUAACUCAUGUUUGCCAGUUUAUUUUAAAAGGAUAUGACAAAGGAUACAGAUGAAUAUCCAGAUGGAAGAGAUGCAUAAGGCAAGGUAUGGGGGAAGGGACACAGAGCUUCCAUGUCCUUGCCAGGCAUGCCACCCUCCUGGUACCUCCAUCCUCCAUGUGUCCAGCCACCUGGAAGUUCCCUGUACUUUUGGGAUUUCUAUGGUGGCUUCAUCACAUAGGCAAGACUGAUUAUUAAUUCAGUCUCUAGCCUCUCUCCCCUUCCUGGAGGAUAGGGGGUGGAGCUGAAAGUUCCAAGCUUCUAAUCACAGCUUGGUCUUGCUGGUGACCAGCUCCCAUCCAGGAGCCCACCAACCACUGCCUCAUUAGAACAAAAGACACUCCUAUCAGUUAGAAAAUUACAAGUUUUAGGAGCUUUGUGCCAGGAACCAGGGGCAGAGACCAAUACAUACAUUUUCUAAUUAUUUCACACGCUCUAAGUCCUUUUCAUGGCUUUUUUUCUAGCAUGGGGAGAAGACAAGUUCAGACCUGCACAGUAACCUGCCUGCGGUCUAACAUUACAAUCUCCCAUGAGCAAAUGCUUUAACAAAAACACGCACACAUCUUCCAAGAAGCAUCACUUUCAGGGACACACCAGUCUACAGUUGCAAUCAGAAAAACAAAAAACAAAACCAGCUCUCUUACUGGAAAGCAUAUAGUCUUGCUAACACUUGUUUCCCUGAAUAAAAGGCUUAACAUUUUAAGCUUUCAGAUGCUUUACAAUUGCCUGCAGUUUAUCUUCACAGUGUCUGCAAGAGCAAUUGAUGGAUUCCUGCUUGUCAUUUGCAUUUUGCAGGUUCCAUUUUGGCAACUCUUCCCCAAAGCAAAGAUUUUCAUCUUUGCUUCUAGAGACAGAACAUCUAUAAUAUCAUUUCUUCAGCU
Orcinus orca (killer whale) is the source of this 3845-nucleotide long non-coding RNA. RefSeq lists it as uncharacterized. The transcript is spliced from 3 exons. NCBI's taxonomy places the organism in Eukaryota, Metazoa, Chordata, Mammalia, Artiodactyla, Delphinidae. The record is from RefSeq and is a predicted model, not a curated record.